UACGUAGGCAGCAAGCGUUGUUCGGAAUUACUGGGCGUAAAGAGUGUGUAGGCGGCGUUUCAAGUCUGGCGUGGAAUCUCCCGGCUUAACUGGGAGGGUGCAUUGGAAACUGGAAUGCUAGAGGAUGGGAGAGGUAAGCGGAAUUCCUGGUGUAGCGGUGAAAUGCGUAGAUAUCAGGAGGAACACCUGUGGUGUAGACAGCUUACUGGACCAUAUCUGACGCUGAGACACGAAAGCGUGGGUAGCAAACAGG
RNAcentral lists this ribosomal RNA (253 nucleotides) under uncultured bacterium. Its description in RNAcentral is "partial 16S ribosomal RNA". It matches the Rfam family "Bacterial small subunit ribosomal RNA", at positions 524 to 776 of the family's 1533-position model. The record is from RNAcentral.